UUGGANUGGGGGAACCCUGACGCAGCAACGCCGCGUGGAGGAUGAAGUCCUUCGGGACGUAAACUCCUUUCGAUCGGGACGAUUAUGACGGUACCGGAAGAAGAAGCCCCGGCUAACUUCGUGCCAGCAGCCGCGGUAAUACGAGGGGGGCGAGCGUUGUUCGGAAUUAUUGGGCGUAAAGGGUGCGUAGGCGGUUUGGUAAGUCUGAUGUGAAAUCUAUGGGCUCAACUCAUAGUCUGCAUCGGAAACUGCCGGGCUUGAGUGUGGGAGAGGUGAGUGGAAUUUCCGGUGUAGCGGUGAAAUGCGUAGAUAUCGGAAGGAACACCUGUGGCGAAAGCGGCGCACUGGACCACUACUGACGCUGAGGCGCGAAAGCCGGGGGAGCAAACAGGAUUAGAUACCCUGGUAGUCCCGGCCCUAAACGAUGAUUGCUUGGUGUGAUCGGUACCCAAUCCGAUUGUGCCGCAGCUAACGCGAUAAGCAAUCCGCCUGGGGAGUACGGUCGCAAGGCUGAAACUCAAAAAAAUUGACGGA
This 534-nucleotide ribosomal RNA is filed under the name uncultured bacterium. Its description in RNAcentral is "bacterial SSU rRNA". It matches the Rfam family "Bacterial small subunit ribosomal RNA", at positions 366 to 917 of the family's 1533-position model. The record is from RNAcentral.